RNAcentral lists this ribosomal RNA (484 nucleotides) under uncultured bacterium. RNAcentral's name for it is "partial 16S ribosomal RNA". It matches the Rfam family "Bacterial small subunit ribosomal RNA", at positions 30 to 507 of the family's 1533-position model. The record is from RNAcentral.
AUUGAACGCUGGCGGCAGGCCUAACACAUGCAAGUCGAGCGGAUGAAGGGAGCUUGCUCCUGGAUUCAGCGGCGGACGGGUGAGUAAUGCCUAGGAAUCUGCCUGGUAGUGGGGGAUAACGUCCGGAAACGGGCGCUAAUACCGCAUACGUCCUGAGGGAGAAAGUGGGGGAUCUUCGGACCUCACGCUAUCAGAUGAGCCUAGGUCGGAUUAGCUAGUUGGUGGGGUAAAGGCCUACCAAGGCGACGAUCCGUAACUGGUCUGAGAGGAUGAUCAGUCACACUGGAACUGAGACACGGUCCAGACUCCUACGGGAGGCAGCAGUGGGGAAUAUUGGACAAUGGGCGAGAGCCUGAUCCAGCCAUGCCGCGUGUGUGAAGAAGGUCUUCGGAUUGUAAAGCACUUUAAGUUGGGAGGAAGGACAGUAAGUUAAUACCUUGCUGUUUUGACGUUACCAACAGAAUAAGCACCGGCUAACUUCGUG